This 253-nucleotide ribosomal RNA is filed under the name uncultured bacterium. RNAcentral's name for it is "partial 16S ribosomal RNA". It matches the Rfam family "Bacterial small subunit ribosomal RNA", at positions 524 to 776 of the family's 1533-position model. The record is from RNAcentral.
UACGGAGGGUGCAAGCGUUAUCCGGAUUCACUGGGUUUAAAGGGUGCGUAGGUGGGCAAGUAAGUCAGUGGUGAAAUCUCCGAGCUUAACUUGGAAACUGCCAUUGAUACUAUCAGUCUUGAAUAUUGUGGAGGUCAGCGGAAUAUGUCAUGUAGCGGUGAAAUGCUUAGAUAUGACAUAGAACACCAAUUGCGAAGGCAGCUGGCUACACAUAUAUUGACACUGAGGCACGAAAGCGUGGGGAUCAAACAGG